AAAAAUACUCAAUCGCUUCGUUCCCGAGCGGCUUGAGAGAGCUGGGAGCAAUGAGCUUGGUCUAUCCACUCCUGCGGCUCCCAUGUCGCUGCGCCCUCCCGGCGGCGCCGCGGGCCGCCGCAGCGUCGGUGGUGUCUCUGUCGGCCUCGGCCUCGGUCUCGUCGGCGGACGGCGGGGGUGACGGAGACGAGGAGCUGACGGCGCGGGAGAGGCGGGAGAGGCGGAGGGAGGCGAGGGAGCUCAAGGCGCGGGACUGGAAGGAGGAGGUGGAGGAGCAGCUCAUCCACGAGCCGGCGCGGCGGCGGAAGAAGCCGCCGAAGCGGACGUGGCGGGAGGAGCUCAACCUCGACUUCCUCGCCGAGCACGGCCCGCAGUGGUGGCUCGUGCGCGUCUCCAUGGCGCCCGGCACCGACUACGUCGACCUCAUCACCAAGGCCGUCGCCCGCCGCUUCUCCGAGGUCUCCUUCAAGAUAUACAAUCCUGCAAUCCAAGUGAAGAAGAGACUGAAAAGUGGUUUAAUCAGUACCAAGUCAAAACCUCUGCAUCCUGGGCUGGUCUUUCUGUAUUGCACUUUAAACAAGGAGCUUCAUGACUUCAUCAGAGACACCGAAGGUUGUUAUGGUUUUAUUGGAGCUACAAGAGGUUCUAUUAAAAGGCAGAUUAAGAAGCCUAAACCAAUUCCAGCUGAAGAAGUCGAAUCAAUUAUUAAAAAGGAAAAGGAGGAACAAGAGAAAGUUGACAAAGAAUUUGAAGACCUGGAAAACUGGAAUAAUGUCGGUUCCUUUAGCAAACCUGUUGAAGACUCUGAACUUAUGUUAAUUAAUAAGAUCAAGAAACAGGUCAAGAAAUCAACUUCAAAAGGUGCCUCCAGCAACGACACUUUUACGCUCGGUGCCAGUGUUCAUGUUCUCUCCGGGCCUUUUGCAGGCUUCACUGGCUCUCUUCUGGAAGUAAUUCGUAAAAAUAAGAAGGUUACUGUCCAGAUGACACUUUUUGGCAAGGAGAGCUUUGUAGAUCUAGAUUUUGAUCAAAUUGAGGCACUCAAUACUUAAUGGACGCCAUGGUGCCCAAGCACACAAACUUCGCUCUCCUCUUUCCCCUGGUUAUGACCUGAAAAGAAUCAUAUAGGGAAUUACUAGUACAAGUGGGGAGUCUCUCUUUCCCCUGGCCAUGACCUGAAAAGAAUCAUGUAGGGAGAAGACUUGCAUAUUUUUCAUGCACAAAAUAAAUUGUGUAUCUGGAGUAUGUGACCUCACAUGUGGGCCUUUGGUUAUAGGAUAGGACAAUCAUUCGUUAUCAUUGCUGCUUCCCCAAGGCCCCAAGUGAAGUAAAUCAAGUAUAUUUAAGCUAGGCACAGACGCACUGUAUCAGUAGUUUUGUUUGUCGAAAUAGAUUCAGAAGUUUUGUCAGUUGGGCCCUGGAGAUAUGAAUAAAGCACUUGGGGUAUAUGGAUCUGUUGAAGACCACCGGAUUGGGUGACAAACACAACAGAAUAGUUAGCCUGUGAGCCACAGUAAACAUUAAGCCCCUGGCAAGUGUUUGGAAACGCUGGUUUUUGCGGACCAGGAUUGGUUCAACAGGAAAUCGCCGACUUGGUUGCUAAAGUUUCACCUCGACCUAUAGUUCUACUAUCAUGUAGAGAGCAAUGUUUCAACACUUUGUAUUCCUUUUUAGCACCACAGGAUACUAAUUCAUUUCAUAAUUCUGAUCAGUACAUUCAUUUUUCAACCAAAUCAAAUGGUGGUAAAAGAAGGCCGGUUUUCAUUGGA
RNA transcript from Hordeum vulgare subsp. vulgare (domesticated barley), 1769 nucleotides. It is a transcript of the gene named transcription termination/antitermination protein NusG, with no coding region annotated. The transcript has 7 exons. The record is from RefSeq and is a predicted model, not a curated record. NCBI's taxonomy places the organism in Eukaryota, Viridiplantae, Streptophyta, Magnoliopsida, Poales, Poaceae.